UACGGGGGGGGCAAGCGUUGUUCGGAAUUACUGGGCGUAAAGGGCUCGUAGGCGGCCAACUAAGUCGGACGUGAAAUCCCUCAGCUUAACUGGGGAACUGCGUCCGAUACUGGAUGGCUUGGAUUUGGGAGAGGGAUGCGGAAUUCCAGGUGUAGCGGUGAAAUGCGUAGAUAUCUGGAGGAACACCGGUGGCGAAGGCGCCACUCUGGGCCGAAACUGACGCUGAGGAGCGAAAGCGUGGGUAGCAAACAGG
RNAcentral lists this ribosomal RNA (253 nucleotides) under uncultured bacterium. Its description in RNAcentral is "partial 16S ribosomal RNA". It matches the Rfam family "Bacterial small subunit ribosomal RNA", at positions 524 to 776 of the family's 1533-position model. The record is from RNAcentral.